RNAcentral lists this ribosomal RNA (253 nucleotides) under uncultured bacterium. RNAcentral's name for it is "partial 16S ribosomal RNA". It matches the Rfam family "Bacterial small subunit ribosomal RNA", at positions 524 to 776 of the family's 1533-position model. The record is from RNAcentral.
UACGGAGGGUGCAAGCGUUAUCCGGAUUCACUGGGUUUAAAGGGUGCGUAGGUGGGUUGGUAAGUCAGUGGUGAAAUCCCCGAGCUUAACUUGGGAACUGCCAUUGAUACUAUUAAUCUUGAAUACUGUGGAGGUUAGCGGAAUAUGUCAUGUAGCGGUGAAAUGCUUAGAUAUGACAUAGAACACCAAUUGCGAAGGCAGCUAGCUACACAAAUAUUGACACUGAUGCACGAAAGCGUGGGGAUCAAACAGG